GACGAACGCUGGCGGCGUGCCUAACACAUGCAAGUCGAGCGGGGAUGUUGGAGAGCUUGCUCAAAAACAUUCUAGCGGCGGACGGGUGAGUAACGCGUGAGCAACCUGCCUAUCACAGGGGAAUAACGCACCGAAAGGUGUGCUAAUACCGCAUGAGACCACAGGACCGCAUGGUCAAGGGGUCAAAGAUUUAUCGGUGAUAGAUGGGCUCGCGUCUGAUUAGCUAGUUGGUGAGGUAACGGCCCACCAAGGCGACGAUCAGUAGCCGACCUGAGAGGGUGAUCGGCCACAUUGGAACUGAGAAACGGUCCAA
This 313-nucleotide ribosomal RNA is filed under the name uncultured bacterium. Its description in RNAcentral is "bacterial SSU rRNA". It matches the Rfam family "Bacterial small subunit ribosomal RNA", at positions 28 to 334 of the family's 1533-position model. The record is from RNAcentral.